CCCUUAGAUGUUCUGGGCCGCACGCACGCUACACUGAUGCAUUCAACGAGUCUAAAACCUGCUCUGAUAGGGGUGGGUAAUCUUUUGAAUGUGCAUCGUGAUUGGGAUAGAUGAUUGAAAUUUUUCAUCUUCAACGAGGAAUGCCUAGUAAACGCAAGUCAUCAGCUUGCAUUGAUUACGUCCCUGCCCUUUGUACACACCGCCCGUCGUUCCUACCGAUUGAAUGAUCCGAUGAAUAUCAUGGAUUGAGGAUGCAAGUAGGUUCACCUAUCUUCAUCUUCGAGAAGUGAAGUAAAUCUUAUCAUUUAGAGGAAGGAGAAGUCGUAACA
RNAcentral lists this ribosomal RNA (329 nucleotides) under uncultured eukaryote. Its description in RNAcentral is "partial 18S ribosomal RNA". It matches the Rfam family "Eukaryotic small subunit ribosomal RNA", at positions 1470 to 1796 of the family's 1831-position model. The record is from RNAcentral.